Molecule: unclassified non-coding RNA, 313 nt
Filed under: uncultured fungus
Lineage: Eukaryota; Fungi
Description: partial contains small subunit ribosomal RNA, internal transcribed spacer 1, and 5.8S ribosomal RNA
Rfam family: Eukaryotic small subunit ribosomal RNA (bases 1-73)
Source: RNAcentral
UCAAACUUGGUCAUUUAGAGGAAGUAAAAGUCGUAACAAGGUUUCCGUAGGUGAACCUGCGGAAGGAUCAUUACAAAUCCAACGUCUCACCCGAGACACCGUUGAAAUAUCACCCUAUGUGUGUUGUGGGGUAGGGUAGGGGGGCACGCGAGGGGGAGGGAACGUUUCCUUCCUUCCUUCCUCUGCCGCCCUCCUACUGUAUUAUCCACACGCACGUACAAACUAGAAACCGUUGAUCAUUUGUAUGCUUCUUUAACAAGAAACAACUUAUACCAAUGGAUCUCUAGGCUCUUGCAUCGAUGAAGAACGCAGC